This 465-nucleotide ribosomal RNA is filed under the name uncultured bacterium. RNAcentral's name for it is "partial 16S ribosomal RNA". It matches the Rfam family "Bacterial small subunit ribosomal RNA", at positions 338 to 795 of the family's 1533-position model. The record is from RNAcentral.
CCUACGGGGGGCAGCAGUGGGGAAUAUUGCGCAAUGGGCGAAAGCCUGACGCAGCGACGCCGCGUGAGGGAUGAAGGUCUUCGGAUCGUAAACCUCUGUCAGCAGGGAAGAACGGUCACUGUGCUAAUCAGCAGUGAAUUGACGGUACCUGCAAAGGAAGCACCGGCUAACUCCGUGCCAGCAGCCGCGGUAAUACGGAGGGUGCGAGCGUUAAUCGGAAUUACUGGGCGUAAAGCGCUCGUAGGCGGUAUGUCAAGUCAAGGGGGAAAUCCCCGCGCUCAACGUGGGAACUGCCUUUGAAACUGGCAAACUGGAGUGUGUGAGAGGAUAGUGGAAUUCCAGGUGUAGGAGUGAAAUCCGUAGAUAUCUGGAGGAACAUCAGUGGCGAAGGCGACUAUCUGGCACAUAACUGACGCUGAGGCACGAAAGCGUGGGGAGCGGACAGGAUUAGAUACCCUGGUAGUC